AACGAACGCUGGCGGCAGGCCUAACACAUGCAAGUCGAACGCUCCAGCAAUGGAGAGUGGCAGACGGGUGAGUAACGCGUGGGAACCUUCCCAGUGGUACGGAAUAGCUCAGGGAAACUUGAGGUAAUACCGUAUACGCCCCUUGGGGGAAAGAUUUAUCGCCAUUGGAUGGGCCCGCGUAGGAUUAGCUAGUUGGUGAGGUAAUGGCUCACCAAGGCGACGAUCCUUAGCUGGUCUGAGAGGAUGAUCAGCCACACUGGGACUGAGACACGGCCCAGACUCCUACGGGAGGCAGCAGUGGGGAAUAUUGGACAAUGGGCGCAAGCCUGAUCCAGCCAUGCCGCGUGAGUGACGAAGGCCUUAGGGUUGUAAAGCUCUUUUGUCGGGGUACGAUAAUGACGGUACCCGAAGAAUAAGCUCCGGCUAACUUCGUGCCAGCAGCCGCGGU
This 448-nucleotide ribosomal RNA is filed under the name uncultured bacterium. RNAcentral describes it as "bacterial SSU rRNA". It matches the Rfam family "Bacterial small subunit ribosomal RNA", at positions 29 to 521 of the family's 1533-position model. The record is from RNAcentral.